AGCAGGGGAAGCUGCUGUAGGGGUAGGCGUGGAGCAAGCUUUCUUGGCUGUGAACCCCUCUGGUUUGGUCAGAGGGAUGGGAUUUGUGGGGCUACAGGUAGCAAGGAUUACGGUGGUCUGUGGACUGUGCUGUAAGGAGCUCUGUGGGCAAGAAGGGCUGAGAGCUGGGAGGGCAUGUGGUGUCUCGCAGAGCACUCAUUUCCUCAGCCUCACCUACAGCAGGGUCUGUUUUAACUGAGUCUUUGAGGGUCUGAUAAAACGAGUUCCCACGCCCCAAACAAGGAUCCUGUGGCUUUGGGGUAUGCAGAGGGCUGCAGGCCAUGUUUCACGUGCAGACAACUGUUACCACGUGCCAUUUUUCUUUUCUUUCCUUUUUUUCUAUAACGAAUGGGGUCCCCACAUCUGGUUGUGGCAGUUAAACAGGCUCGAUUUAAUCAGAGACUGAUACAGUAUGCAGAGAGAAAAGAGGGGAGUGGGGUGAAAAGCACAGAGCACCUGCUUAUCCCCGGGCAGCGUGCCCUGUUCUGGUCCAUUGUGCAGGGGAAGGCAGGUUGCCCAGAUCCUGCCUGCUGGGAAGUCCUGUGCUUGGGGCCUUUAGCAAGGUUUUCUGCAUGUUCCAUCCGGGUAGGGUGGGAACAGCGCAGGGGUGUUGCAAAGGGGCUAGGGCUAGCUGGAAGGGUUUAGUUAAUUUGCCGUACAGCAGCUUUUGCAGCAGCACAGUGCAUGUGUUGAGGGGUAGAGACAAAUCAGAUGACUUCCAGGAAGCAGGAAGUCUAUUCCCUGAGAGUAGGUGUUCCCUAACUAUGCAUUAGAGACUGCCUUUCACCUGCUGCUUAAAUUUGUUGGAAAACAUGUAA
RNAcentral lists this long non-coding RNA (857 nucleotides) under Gallus gallus (chicken). The record is from RNAcentral. Lineage: Eukaryota; Metazoa; Chordata; Aves; Galliformes; Phasianidae.